This is a long non-coding RNA of Meriones unguiculatus (Mongolian gerbil), 368 nucleotides long. RefSeq lists it as uncharacterized. NCBI's taxonomy places the organism in Eukaryota, Metazoa, Chordata, Mammalia, Rodentia, Muridae. The record is from RefSeq and is a predicted model, not a curated record. The transcript has 3 exons.
UCGCUCUUAGGGAAGAAAGAGAUGCAGACUCAAGGCCAGUUGGUGCAUUGCAUGCUGGGGCCAGGCACUGAGUCCAGGCCUCACCUUGACCUCCUCCUCCAGCUGCCUCUUGAGGUCCUCCAGCUGCUGGGUAUAGCUUAGCCCGCUGGCUGGUGAGGUCAUUGACAGAACGCUGGGUCUCCUCAGCCUUGCUCCGGUGCUCAUUCAUCUGGUCUUCCAAGGUCCGGCACAUCUUCUCCAGCUUCUGUUUCACCCGCUGCAGGUUGUCUAUCUGCUCGCCCAGCUCGGCCACACUGUCAGCAUGCUUCUUGCGCAGGGCCGCAGCCGUGGCCUCGUGCUGCAGAGUGGCCUCCUCCAGGUCCCGCCGC